Cynoglossus semilaevis (tongue sole) is the source of this 1021-nucleotide long non-coding RNA. RefSeq lists it as uncharacterized. The record is from RefSeq and is a predicted model, not a curated record. The transcript has 5 exons. Lineage: Eukaryota; Metazoa; Chordata; Actinopteri; Pleuronectiformes; Cynoglossidae.
CGAAACAGUGUGUGACUUAAGGUAUAGUUUAUUUGCAACAAAACUAUGUACUUCCUACAUAAAAAAAGGGAAUAUCUUGAUGACAAUAACACUAUUACUGUGUAUAUGCGUUACACGUUUUCAAAAUGUUGCAGAUAACAUUUAAACAUGACAUAUAUCAUAUGUUUUAAUGGAAGGAAAACCGCCAAAGGAUUCACAAUAAAACAUGUGCAUUACCGCCACCAACUGGUACUGCAUCGCAACAUGUUACAAUCAGCUUUCCUGGAUCUCCCCUUAUCCUGCUGCCAAACCAAGCCUGGUUCGCCUGUGAACGCAAUCAUUCUGUGGCCAGUUAUGGAAAAACUCUACAGUGAAGAGGCUGCAAGAAACGUGAUGGAUGAAGGACCGGUUGAAUAUUCUUCUGCCGGGAUGUCAACAGAGUAUAAAUAUAUUGGACAUGACCGUGGACAUGGAAGAAAUAGACAACCCACCAAUCAAUUUUGUCCUGCCAUCUAGACAAUAAAAAAGGUACCACUAGAUGGUGCCGAGGCUACAGCAACCGUUCGACGUCAUCACCAAAGAUUGCAGUGUAAAAGUAUACGGCAAGUUUAUGCACAAUAUAUAUAAUAGAGAGCGUCUGAAUUUCUGGUUGUAUUAAAUACCACCAGUAUUUCUGAGAUGCAAAUGUUUAUGAAACCUGGUUUAUAAUAACUCCAAGGAGAGGUCUCAUAAUUAAAAUAAUAAAUGAGAAGAAUGGUGUGAAAUAUGGUAAAAUGGGUUAGUUGGAAAUGAGGUGGAGGAUAUUGAAGUUAUUAAGAAUUAUUAAAAAAAAUUGGUGAGUGACAGUGUGGAAUGUGGGGAAUGGAACGGCAGCCGGCAUUUAGUAGGACUGGAGGUAGAGGAUCUACUUGGAAGGUUCAGGGUUUGGAUUUGUGUUCAGAGAACUACAUCCUGAUAAACCUAAUGAAUUUGUCGUACUACAGAAAUCAAGGAGAGGGCGGCAAAACCAAAACAUACGACUAAAAUUAAAGUAAAAAGAAAA